UCCUGGCAGUAAAUCUGAGAUCCCAGUUAGCAGUUAUGAGGGAAUUCGACAGAUUUAGGUUGGAUACAUUGAGCGAGUCGACUUGGAACUCAGGGAUGCGAGGAAGAAUAACAAUCCAGAUGACAAAGAGAAUUGUUCCGGUGAUGAUCGUAGAAGCAACAAGUAUAGCUAUCACUCGUCGAAGAAAGGUAUUACGCUGGGCCGCGUAAGGGUCUGGGUAGGGGUAGUUGUUGUAAUACGGUGGUGCAGCGUAAGGGUAGGCGGUGGCCGGAGGUUGAGGUUGAGCGGAGGGGUAGCCAUUGUGGUUAGGAGGAGGAGCGGCAGCGGCGGGGUAACCGGUGACGGGUCGAUUCGGGUCAGCCAUGUCAGAGGAUAUG
This 377-nucleotide unclassified non-coding RNA is filed under the name Hevea brasiliensis (rubber tree). Lineage: Eukaryota; Viridiplantae; Streptophyta; Magnoliopsida; Malpighiales; Euphorbiaceae. The record is from RNAcentral.